UCCCUCAUAGCUCAGUUGGUAAAGAAUCUGCCUGCAAUGCAGGAAACCCAUGUUCAAUUCCUGGGUGGGGAA
This is a non-coding RNA of Bos taurus (domestic cattle), 72 nucleotides long. Lineage: Eukaryota; Metazoa; Chordata; Mammalia; Artiodactyla; Bovidae. The record is from Rfam.